AUGGAGAGGACCAGGAGGCUGUUCGAGACGGAGACGAACGGGGGCCGGGCAGUGUACAGGCACCACGCCGUCACGGUGGCCGCCGGGAUACUGCUGGUGCUCUACUACCGGGCGACGCGCGUGCCGGCCGCCGGCGAAGGGAGGCGGCGUGGCUGGGCAUGCUGGCGGCGGAGCUCUGGUACGCCGCCUACUGGGCCGUCACGCAGUCCGUGCGCUGGAGCCCCCUCCGCCGCCGCCCCUACAGGGACAGGCUCGCCGCCAGGUCAGUACGACGUCCGGGGGCUAAGGUAUGGAGAGAGGCUACCUUAUGUGGAUAUCUUUGUAUGCACCGCAGAUCCACACUCAGAGCCACCAAGUCUUGUCAUCUCCACCAUCCUAUCGCUCAUGGCAUACAAUUACCCAGCCGAAAAAAUUAGUGUGUACCUUUCUGACGACGGAGGUUCGAUUCUCACUUUCUAUGCUCUGUGGGAGGCCUCCUUAUUUGCAAAGCAUUGGAUACCAUUCUGCAAGAGAUAUAACAUUGAGCCAAGGUCACCAGCCGCUUACUUCUCAGAGUCAGAUGGGCAUCAAGAUUUGUGCAGCCCAAAGGAAUGGUCACUUAUCAGGGAGAUGUAUGAAGAUAUAACUCAGCGAAUUGAUAGAGCUGUUUUGUCAGGUAAAAUUUCAGAGGAAGUCAAAGCAAAUCAUAAAGGAUUUCAUGAAUGGGAUCAAGAAAAUACCUCAAAAAAUCACCAGCCAAUUGUUCAGAUUCUGAUGGAGGGCAAAGACAAAAAUGCAAAUGAUGACGAAGGAAAUGUGCUACCAACACUUGUGUACAUGGCACGGGAGAAGCGGCCUCAGCACCACCAUAAUUUCAAAGCUGGGGCAAUGAAUGCUCUGAUAAGAGUGUCAUCAGUGAUAAGCAACAGCCCUAUCAUCAUGAAUGUGGACUGUGAUAUGUAUUCCAACAAUUGCGAUACAAUCAGAGAUGCACUGUGUUUCUUCCUUGAUGAAGAAAUGGGUCACAAGAUUGGAUUUGUGCAAUUCCCCCAGAACUAUAACAAUUUGACCAAGAAUAAUAUAUAUGGGAACUCCCACCAAGUCACCAAUCAGCUACCCAAUCUAAAGGUGCUAAUGGGUGGUAUGGACAGUGUGGGCGGUCCUAUGUAUGUUGGCACUGGAUGUUUCCACAGAAGGGAGAUCCUUUGCGGAAGGAGGUUCACCGAAGACUACAAGGAGGACUGGAACGGAGGAAUCAAGGACAAAACACAAGAGAGCAUAGUUGAGAUUGAAGAGAAAGCGAAGUCUUUAGCAGCCUUGAUUCCUCCGUUCCAUAAUUAUUGUCGUGGCCGGAGGGAGUAG
This 1341-nucleotide ribosomal RNA is filed under the name Triticum aestivum (bread wheat). Its description in RNAcentral is "partial small subunit ribosomal RNA". The record is from RNAcentral. Lineage: Eukaryota; Viridiplantae; Streptophyta; Magnoliopsida; Poales; Poaceae.